RNAcentral lists this ribosomal RNA (490 nucleotides) under uncultured bacterium. Its description in RNAcentral is "partial 16S ribosomal RNA". It matches the Rfam family "Bacterial small subunit ribosomal RNA", at positions 30 to 507 of the family's 1533-position model. The record is from RNAcentral.
AUUGAACGCUGGCGGCAGGCCUAACACAUGCAAGUCGAACGGUAACAGGAAACAGCUUGCUGUUUCGCUGACGAGUGGCGGACGGGUGAGUAAUGUCUGGGAAACUGCCUGAUGGAGGGGGAUAACUACUGGAAACGGUAGCUAAUACCGCAUAACGUCGCAAGACCAAAGAGGGGGACCUUCGGGCCUCUUGCCAUCGGAUGUGCCCAGAUGGGAUUAGCUAGUAGGUGGGGUAACGGCUCACCUAGGCGACGAUCCCUAGCUGGUCUGAGAGGAUGACCGGCCACACGGGAACUGAGACACGGUCCAGACUCCUACGGGAGGCAGCAGUGGGGAAUAUUGCACAAUGGGCGCAAGCCUGAUGCAGCCAUGCCGCGUGUAUGAAGAAGGCCUUCGGGUUGUAAAGUACUUUCAGCGGGGAGGAAGGGAGUAAAGUUAAUACCUUUACUCAUUGACGUUACCCGCAGAAGAAGCACCGGCUAACUCCGUG